AAAGCACCUGACACGGAACAAGUUUACCCACUAAGGCGGGAACCCGCGCCAGAUGCUCCUCCGGUUGGUUGCCUCCUUUGCACUUCCGGGUUCCGGACCAGCCAUCUUUACUGCGCAUCCUCAGACGGGACUUUCUGUCUGAGAAGCCCGCUGAAUUUUGGGAGUUGUAGUCGUUCUCCGCUGCUAUUCAUAAGGAUCAGUCUGCAGAAGGACAUCAUGCUUGGCAGAGUACAGGGUCAGCGGAAAAGAGGAAGACCCUCAAUGAGGUGGACUGACACAGUGGCUGCAACAAUGGGCUCAAGCAUAACAACGAUUGUAAGGAUGGCGCAGGACUGGGUAGUGUUUCAUUCUGUUGUGCAUAAGGGUCGCUAUGAGUGGGAACCGACUCGACGGCACCUAACAACAAGUCAUUCUCCACGGAGAGAGGGACUUCGGUGACAGAGGUUCUGGAGCCGGAACUUUUAGGAUAGUCAGUCACAGUAGGAUAAACUUCCCUUUCUCUCCGAUUUAGGGAAAAAUAACGAAUCCCCAGCCUACGGCGCGGUGACGUCUGCCCUAGCCGGGCAGAUUCUCUCGUAGUUACCCCUCCGAAGUGGACCGCGCGCCCCCUAGAGCCUGGAGCUGCCCUCUCCUCUUAGCAGAUGUGUUGACCAAGCUCAGGUAGGGGCCGGAGGCGCACCGCGAGGCCGGAACGGCAGAGGAUGCGGCAGAUUUGGCCAUGACCAAGGACGCAGUGGGCACGGGGGACGAGCCUCCGACGUCCUGUUUGUGACCUCCCGGAGGCGUGAUACAACCCCUGAGGAGCGCCGGAAGGCUAGGAAGGGGUACCAGCCUGUGGGGAGGUAUCGCCUGCCUAGCACCUCUACCUUGACAGAACCCACCCUCUGUUCUUCCUUCUCCCUGGGCCACACCUUUCCUGUCCGAGCAAAGGCUUCAGCCACCUUGCGGUUCCGCCCUCCGUAGCAGGUAGUGAUGAGGUCAGCAACACCACAGCUCUCCAAGAAGGUGGCCGAGGACACAGGGCCGCUGCAGAAGAGCUUGGCGAAGGCAAUCAUCUCCAUGAGCCCCAGUCGGAUCACCGCCGCCUUGGUGUUGUCACCAAAGCCCAGCCCAUCGCAGAAGCCAGCGCCCACAGCCACUAUAUUCUUUGAGGAGUAGAAGUCAUGAGUGAGAAGAGGAUUCCUCAUUAUUUGGAGCCUUCAGCACCUGCCUCAUGCUCCUUACAUCAGCCAUGGCACAUCCACUGAAUAAGUGGCCCUUGAGCUGGUCACAGAUCUUGCCGAUGAACUGAUGGGGCACCACAAAGAUCAAGAUGUCAGCAUCUGCUGCAGCCUGGACCACAUCUGGGACAGCCACCUGUUGGGGUGAGCAGGUGCUUGUGGGAGUGACGACCUCCUCUCCCAGCCCCUAUGGAACCCUAUUCAGGAGAUCUGAGAACCAAAGACUGAGGCUAGUGGAAGAGAAGAAAGGGAGGUUUGAGGACUAAAUCUGGAAGUGGCUGAACUUGGAGGAACAAGAUAUUCAAUUCCCUUUUCCCAGCCAUUACUCCCUCUCAGCUCCCUGAGCUCUUUGAGGACUCCUGGAAACCUCCUCCCAGCUCUCUCCUAGCCCUUGGCUGUGGGACAGUGAGGGAGGCCAAAGGACGCCCCAGCUUGGCAGAAGGUAGAGACUGGGUAAGAUUUCAUCACCCUGCUCCUUAGGGCCCCUAACUGGGAAGAGCAACCCUGAGGCCUUCCUGCUCCCUCCCCGGCUCCCCCUUUCCAGGUGGUGAGAGAGCCACAUGGAUUUGACUAAAGACCUUAAGUCCAAGUAGCAGCCUCCAAGCCUGCUAACCCAGUGAAUGAGUAACAGGAUUAAAGCUCGAGGUGGGCACUACCUGGAGCCCAAGUCUGGGAGCUCCGAGAACCAAUCUUUGGUUGCCAUGGAGACCAACUUCCUCAUCCUCUCCUCCCUUUCCCACCUGGGAGCCUGUAAGGAGGGAGAAAGGUGCAUUCAGGUUCUCCUUAGUCCCAGAAAGAGACCAGAGAAGCCGCUUGGGGGCUGUGUUUUUUGAGUGCUCUGCGGGAGCAGCCCUCCUGAGAUGCUUCCCAAGUCCAGCUCUCACCUGAGAUGGCCCCCUCUCAGCAAGAAGCAACUGGUGAGUAAGGUGUGUGUUCUGACUCUCCUCAGCCUUCCCUCCCUCCAGCUUCCUCCCUCCCUUGCCAGGUGUUGGGGCUUACCACAUUGGGGGGCAGCUU
Loxodonta africana (African savanna elephant) is the source of this 2237-nucleotide long non-coding RNA. RefSeq lists it as uncharacterized. The transcript has 3 exons. The record is from RefSeq and is a predicted model, not a curated record. Lineage: Eukaryota; Metazoa; Chordata; Mammalia; Proboscidea; Elephantidae.